RNAcentral lists this unclassified non-coding RNA (1118 nucleotides) under Leishmania donovani. RNAcentral describes it as "gene:unknown". Lineage: Eukaryota; Euglenozoa; Kinetoplastea; Trypanosomatida; Trypanosomatidae. The record is from RNAcentral.
CGCUCCCUGUUUUGCAUUUUUCGCUGCGCUACUUUACGGCAGCGUAGGUUCCGCAGCUUUGCUGUGCUCUUUCCAUUUUGCCUGGUACUGCAUUGGAGGCCGUCUGCACAUUGGGCAAAGCACAACGAGGCCCAAUUAUCCUGGAGCGCACUGGCUCGAGAUGCAGAGAAAGACGUACACUUCAUCUGCUUCACAUGCAAAAAAAAAUCACAAAGAGUCUCAUGAAGAUUACAUGCGAUACGCGCUUCUGCAAGAGAUGCGAUGACCAUCGUGUGUAGAAGACUCUCUACGAUGCCCGCUAGGGAGCUAGCUAUACAUUGGAGCGUUGCACUGCAGAUAGCGUGGACCUGUUGCUGUGAACGCUGAGGAAGUGCUGGAUUGUAAAGGCGCGGUCAGUUUUUCACCUGCACUUGACUCACUCUCAGUUCUAUGUUGGCCUCCCGUUGCGGGUGGUAACCUUCAGUUUUCACUUUCAAGAUUUGAAUUACUUUCCUUUCAGUCUCUAUCGCAAAUGAACAGUGCACUGGCGCGUUAAAGCAAGACGUUUUUCUUUCCCUUCGCCGGCCUCACUUCCACCAUUUUUCUGUUUGCUCACUACCCCGUGCGUGUUCAAAGUAUAGACGCAAAAGCCUGGCUCAGUUGUCUGCAUCAACAGAAUUUCCCUUGUAACCAGUCUCAAUGUGAAAGAAGACAAAGUGCAAACGCCCCGAAACCUGUUGGACGUACGAGUUUAGCGACUUUACUUAUAAAUAUUGAGUAGAGAUACUACACCAGGAAAAAGACAAAAGAUGCUUUCGUGACAUGCACUACGGAUACUCUUCUGCUGCUUUUUGCUCCUGAUGUCGGAGGACACCUCAGUGCGUGGCACCGGUGCCCAGUACCAUACUCUAUGCGGGAAGACAGGCAGCUCUUCUAUCCCAGUCAGUGCACAGCCACUUCUAGUGGUGACGGCAUCAGGCACCUAGGGCGUGGUGAUGUCAGAGCGAUGUAGCGCUACUAAUGCCGGCGGUCAGAUGGUGGAUAGCGUUGCGUUGGCGUCAUCUGCGGCAGUGGGCACGCUUGUUCCAUCCAUUUGAUGGGCAGAGCGUCAGCGUGACCCGAACACCACCCACCCGACU